CAGCUUCAGCCCUGCCGCUGCCGCAGCCAGUGCACCCAGUGAGCCCACGUUCUCCGCCGAUGCACCCAGGAACAGGGCGAAGUCACAGCGCGCCCCGGCCUCGGCCAGCUUCUGUGCCAGGGCGAAGGAUGCAGCGUCGGUGAUGGCGGGGCUGGUGUUGGGCAUGGCACACACCAUGGUGACACCCCCGGCCAGGGCGGCUGCAGUGCCCGAGGAGAAGUCCUCCUUGUGUGUGGCACCUGGCUCACGCAGGUGCAC
Molecule: long non-coding RNA, 258 nt
Filed under: Gallus gallus (chicken)
Lineage: Eukaryota; Metazoa; Chordata; Aves; Galliformes; Phasianidae
Source: RNAcentral